This 253-nucleotide ribosomal RNA is filed under the name uncultured bacterium. RNAcentral describes it as "partial 16S ribosomal RNA". It matches the Rfam family "Bacterial small subunit ribosomal RNA", at positions 524 to 776 of the family's 1533-position model. The record is from RNAcentral.
UACGUAGGGUGCAAGCGUUGUCCGGAAUUAUUGGGCGUAAAGAGCUUGUAGGCGGUUUGUCGCGUCUGCUGUGAAAUUUCGGGGCUCAACUCUGACAUUGCAUUCGAUACGGGCAGGCUAGAGUUCGGUAGGGGAGACUGGAAUUCCUGGUGUAGCGGUGAAAUGCGCAGAUAUCAGGAGGAACACCGAUGGCGAAGGCAGGUCUCUGGGCCGAUACUGACGCUGAGGAGCGAAAGCGUGGGGAGCGAACAGG